Molecule: ribosomal RNA, 254 nt
Filed under: uncultured bacterium
Lineage: Bacteria
Description: partial 16S ribosomal RNA
Rfam family: Bacterial small subunit ribosomal RNA
Source: RNAcentral
CACGUAGGGGGCGAGCGUUGUCCGGAUUUAUUGGGCGUAAAGAGCUCGUAGGCGGCUCAGUAAGUCGGGUGUGAAAACUCCAGGCUCAACCUGGAGACGCCACCUGAUACUGCUGUGGCUAGAGUCCGGUAGGGGAGCAUGGAAUUCCUGGUGUAGCGGUGAAAUGCGCAGAUAUCAGGAGGAACACCGGUGGCGAAGGCGCACAUCUGGCCCGAUACUGACGCUGAGGCGCGAAAGCUAGGGGAGCAAACGGG